UUGAACAGUUCUCAGCUUGGUUUUGGGCCCAUUGUUCCACAGCCAACUCUGAAUGCUCUCUGUGACCAAAGUUAGACUUUAAUCUCAUCUUCUCCUUUUCUUUAGUAUCUUAGGAAAAUAGUUGUACACAGGAAUGAUGGUGGUAAGAAUAUAUUUUAUUACAUUGUUAAUCAGCUCCUCUUUUGUUCUCUUCUAGCUUCUUUACCUAAUGCUGGCGGAACUCUUCUCUAACAGCUUGAAUAUGAAACGUUCCCCCGGCCACCGGUACUGUCAGCGAGCACCACCGGACAACACCCCCGAUCAUCUCCUCCAUCUCCUCCACUCUACCAGCACUUUUUUUAAAGGCACUAAAUAUGUGAAAGGUUUUGUAUAUAAGUACUGUGUGACUACUGAACAAGGACAAGAUGAAGACUUUUGAUAGAUGCGCUUAGCAGGUUCUAUCACAUCCUACUGAAACAAACGCAGCAUAUUUCACUGGAGAAGUGUUGGCCCACAUAUAAGGCCAAAAUAAAGACUAAGUAAGCAACUGAGAAGACUGUUUAAGUACCACCAUGUGUACUGAAUAGAGGAAGAGAACAGCUAUCCUUACUGUAUCCAGAGUGUUUUUUAUUGGUUAGGUCAAUCUGGGUGGACAUAUUUCAGGUUUGUCCUUGAACACAGAAAUAACAUUGUUUUGUUGCUCUAUUAAUGACGCUGAUAAAAUACACUCACUGACCAAAACAAUUUAGUAAUCAAGUUAAGUCCUCUUGGGAUAUGAAUAAAAACUGACCUGAACUCAACUGAAAUUCCAGAAGGAAUGUAAUCUUGUCCACAUGCAGACCAGUGACAGAUGUGUAAAUGGCUUGAUUUGCAAGACACUUGCAUGUUUAGAACAAGGUAGAGUGAGCAGAAGUAUUACAAGUAAUUGCUGGAACAUCCCACAGUUAAAACAGCAAGUGAAUGUUAAGGUUUAAAACAUAGAAACAGACAGCAGCCUCAGUUUAAUUCAGGUUGCAUUAUCUAGUCUGCAAAGGAUCACAGAGAAAUGACUCACCAUUUCUCUGUGAUCCUGAACACAUACAUUACUGAACACAUUAAUGUAUUUUCCACCACUUUAAGAUCAUCUCUAUUCAGGGCCUUGUCUAUUAUACAGAUAUCUCUCAUCAAGCCUCUAAAUCUGCUUUGGCCCAGAGGUCUGAUGGCAUCAGACACAGCUGCCACUGAUGCCAUGAUACCACUGACCACCACCAGCAGGCAAGGUGAGUGAAGUGUGUUGCCCAAGAACACAAUGAAUAAGACAGAUGGAGCAAGGGUUCAAACUGGCAACCCACUGGUUACAGGAUGAAUCUGUAGUUUUACUCAGAUCUUCACCAUAGCAUCAGGCUAUAAGUUCCAGAGCAGGCCCAGCAGUAACCCUUCUGCGGUCUUAAGAGACGGGGUCACUUAGACCUCACAGGCUUCAGCCUGUCCAUGGUUCAGCGGAUUGGACCAACUCUACAGGCGUUUUUACAAGUUUUUUUUUUUUUUGUCAGGUUUCGGAAACUGUCAGGCUGAAGGGACAGCCCCCCACUUUCCUGCUGUCCGAUGUGACAUCUGCUGCACUCCUCUUGAGCAUCACGCUAAGACCACGAAAGGGCUAAAGUGAGGAUGUUAGCUGUCAGCAUCACAAUACUGCUGUACUUAGAGAUGUUGCCAUGGAAAUAGUCACAAACCACAACAGUGGCUGAUUUACAGUUGUAAAUGACCCAACCUGUUUAUCCAGAGGAGGAAAAUUAGCAGGAAAAUGCAGUGGUAUUGUUACUGUUACCCAUCCUCCAAGGAUGCAACCACAGGCUAUGCAUCCUUUACUUGCUCAGCUGGUCAAAAGCCACGUUGUCUUUGUUGAUUGUAAAGCUCCUGAUGUGGAAAGACUCAGUCAUUUAAACACAGAGGUGCUCCUGUACAUACUUGGUGUCUGCUAUAGGUGACAUACCAAUCACCAGUCUGCAUGUGCACUAAAUGACAUUCACAAACAGACCAGGGACCUCAUGUACAAAGGCUACAAAAGCAUAAAAAACUUGCACUUUCCACAAGAAAGUUCAGUUCUAUCAAUUAGAAAUGUGAUCCAAGGUUACGCUAACCUUGGAUCACAUGCAGCUAUUGAUGUUUUUGAGACACCUAGAAAUUACGCUGCAAAAAUAUCAAACGCAAUCCAUCCAUUUUGUCUCAAUACACUUGCUUGUCUGUGUAAAGCCAGAGGGUGCUAGUGUCAGUCUCCACCAGUCAUUGGGUGAAAGAUGGGGUAUAUCCUGAACAGGUUGUCAAUCCAUCACAGGGCAACACAGAAACAGACAACCACACACACUUUCGUCUGUAAGGAUAAUUUAGACAAAACACUUUAUCUAAUGUUCAUGGAAUUUUGGAUGGUCUUGGAAGCCACAGUACCCCGAGACAAGCCAUGUAAGCACAGGGAAAAGUCGCAAACUUUUAACUUUUGAUCUAGGACCUUCUUCUCCAUGUGGCCAUUCAGCACACAUCCUACACAUGAAGAAUGUAUCCAUACCACCAGUCUAAGGCACAAAUCAACAUUGUGCUGCA
Poecilia latipinna (sailfin molly) is the source of this 2556-nucleotide long non-coding RNA. RefSeq lists it as uncharacterized. The record is from RefSeq and is a predicted model, not a curated record. The transcript is spliced from 2 exons. NCBI's taxonomy places the organism in Eukaryota, Metazoa, Chordata, Actinopteri, Cyprinodontiformes, Poeciliidae.